UACGUAGGGUGCGAGCGUUGUUCGGAAUUACUGGGCGUAAAGGGCGCGUAGGCGGCCUUCUAAGUCAGACGUGAAAUCCCCCGGCUUAACCUGGGAACUGCGUCUGAUACUGGGAGGCUUGAGUAUGGGAGAGGGAUGUAGAAUUCCAGGUGUAGCGGUGAAAUGCGUAGAUAUCUGGAGGAAUACCGGUGGCGAAGGCGGCAUCCUGGACCGGCAUUGACGCUGAGGAGCGAAAGCUAGGGGAGCAAACGGG
RNAcentral lists this ribosomal RNA (253 nucleotides) under uncultured bacterium. RNAcentral describes it as "partial 16S ribosomal RNA". It matches the Rfam family "Bacterial small subunit ribosomal RNA", at positions 524 to 776 of the family's 1533-position model. The record is from RNAcentral.